This 97-nucleotide non-coding RNA is filed under the name Bergeyella zoohelcum. RNAcentral describes it as "SAM-I-IV sequence". It matches the Rfam family "SAM-I/IV (S-adenosyl methionine) riboswitch aptamer". From Rfam's summary of the family: It is found upstream of a number of genes which code for proteins involved in methionine or cysteine biosynthesis. It has been found mostly in the order Actinomycetales. Lineage: Bacteria; Pseudomonadati; Bacteroidota; Flavobacteriia; Flavobacteriales; Weeksellaceae. The record is from RNAcentral. RNAcentral also lists the same sequence under 1 other name.
UACCGUUAUCAAGAAUCCUGAUAAAAAGGGUAGCAACCUGCAACAACAAGCAAGGUGCUGAAAAUGAUAAGCCGUUUCUGGAAAAAAUGUUGAUUCC